RNAcentral lists this unclassified non-coding RNA (240 nucleotides) under soil metagenome. RNAcentral's name for it is "partial contains 5.8S ribosomal RNA, internal transcribed spacer 2, and large subunit ribosomal RNA". The record is from RNAcentral.
AACAUCGCGCACCUGCGGGAACCUGCGGAAGGAUCAUUAAUGAUUGGUGGCCGUUGCUGACUAGUGUUUCUAGUAUGUGCACGCCACACCUUCAAUCCCACUUACACCUGUGCACCUUCUGUAAUAGAUCUAUGUGGAUACGGAGAUAUGAAAGUUUGCGCUCUCGUACUCUGUUGAAGCAGUCUACUACGUUUUUUUACACACACACAAUAGUCAUUGAAUGUAUUUUUUAUUCUUAUG